Molecule: ribosomal RNA, 498 nt
Filed under: uncultured bacterium
Lineage: Bacteria
Description: partial 16S ribosomal RNA
Rfam family: Bacterial small subunit ribosomal RNA
Source: RNAcentral
AUUGAACGCUGGCGGCAUGCUUUACACAUGCAAGUCGAACGGUAACAGGCCUUCGGGCGCUGACGAGUGGCGAACGGGUGAGUAAUGCAUCGGAACGUGCCCAGUCGUGGGGGAUAACGCAGCGAAAGCUGUGCUAAUACCGCAUACGAUCUGUGGAUGAAAGCGGGGGACCUUCGGGCCUCGCGCGAUUGGAGCGGCCGAUGUCAGAUUAGGUAGUUGGUGGGGUAAAGGCCCACCAAGCCGACGAUCUGUAGCUGGUCUGAGAGGACGACCAGCCACACUGGGACUGAGACACGGCCCAGACUCCUACGGGAGGCAGCAGUGGGGAAUUUUGGACAAUGGGCGCAAGUCUGAUCCAGCAAUGCCGCGUGCAGGAAGAAGGCCUUCGGGUUGUAAACUGCUUUUGUACGGAGCGAAAAGGCUCCCUCUAAUACAGGGGGCUCAUGACGGUACCGUAAGAAUAAGCACCGGCUAACUACGUGCCAGCCGCCGCGGUAA